This 467-nucleotide ribosomal RNA is filed under the name uncultured bacterium. RNAcentral's name for it is "partial 16S ribosomal RNA". It matches the Rfam family "Bacterial small subunit ribosomal RNA", at positions 28 to 506 of the family's 1533-position model. The record is from RNAcentral.
GACGAACGCUGGCGGCGUGCUUAACACAUGCAAGUCGAACGGAAAGGCCCUGCUUUUGUGGGGUGCUCGAGUGGCGAACGGGUGAGUAACACGUGAGUAACCUGCCCUUGACUUUGGGAUAACUUCAGGAAACUGGGGCUAAUACCGGAUAGGAGCUCCUGCUGCAUGGUGGGGGUUGGAAAGUUUCGGCGGUUGGGGAUGGACUCGCGGCUUAUCAGCUUGUUGGUGGGGUAGUGGCUUACCAAGGCUUUGACGGGUAGCCGGCCUGAGAGGGUGACCGGCCACAUUGGGACUAAGAUACGGCCCAGACUCCUACGGGAGGCAGCAGUGGGGAAUAUUGCACAAUGGGCGGAAGCCUGAUGCAGCAACGCCGCGUGCGGGAUGACGGCCUUCGGGUUGUAAACCGCUUUCGCCUGUGACGAAGCGUGAGUGACGGUAAUGGGUAAAGAAGCACCGGCUAACUACGU